GUUUGUUAAAUACUGGCAGCUCUGGCCAAACUUUCCUAUCGACGUCGUCUCGUCUCAUUGCCUCCGCGAAAAUAACGACUUUGUGGUGAAAUUUUAGAUGUUUGCAUGCGAAAAACACUUGCAAACAUCACAACAUCUACAAUAAGUUAUACUUUUCGAGCGGUUCAAAUGCAGUGCCAACGAAAUUAUGCAUAAUUAAAGGUAUAAUGUGUUGUGAAAAAGUGCACUAACUUGGAAUUCUACCGCCGCCGUCAUUCUUGCAAAGGCCGUCUCCGUUUUUCGUGACGCCGCUGUCGCAGUUGACGUCGCUGUUUGCUGGUAAUUUCAGUUAGGUUUUUUAUGCGAUUCUGGUUCAAUCGAAUUUGCAUUGGUUGGCGCGAGUAUUACUUGUAGUAGUGAGAAUUCUAAUAAUAAAAGUUGCUUUUUACUUGUUUAAAGUAUACUGCAAAGUGGCCAAGAAGACAACAUAAAAAAAUUACAGACAAAUUUUCCAAAAGGAUUAUUUCGGCUGCGUUAUUGAAUAGUAUAUAAAAAUAAAAACAAACAAAUACCCGAGACAGUCAUCUCGUUCUAACAAAUGCUUCUACGCGGGUUAAACCAACAUAGUCGUCGGAGCGAAAACGUGUUGUAUUUGUAAUGUGUGAUUAAAAUAUUGAAGAAAAUUUUUCAAAUAAUUGACCAAUUUUUGUGACAAGCAUCUGCUGAUUAUUGUGGCUUGACUUCUCUUCUCCCUGUUCUUAGGGUCUGAAUUUUGUAUCAGGUAUAUAUAUAUUCAAUAAAACUAUUAUGCUAAAUCCAUCAUGAAAGUAAAUUGACAAUAAUCUACGAAAAUUUCGAGUAU
Molecule: long non-coding RNA, 841 nt
Organism: Anastrepha obliqua
Lineage: Eukaryota; Metazoa; Arthropoda; Insecta; Diptera; Tephritidae
Exons: 3
Source: RefSeq, a predicted model, not a curated record